UACGAGUGCCUCAAGCGUUAUCCGGAAUCAUUGGGCGUAAAGGAUGUGUAGGUGGUUGUGUUAGUCUUGUGUUAAAUUCUUCGGCUUAACCGGGGGCAUGCACGGGAAACGGCACGACUAGAGGAUGCGAGGGGUCUGCGGAACUCAUAGUGUAGCGGUAAAAUGCGUUGAUAUUAUGGGGAACACCAAAAGCGAAGGCAGCAGACUGGAGCACUCCUGACACUGAAACAUGAAAGCGUGGGUCGCGAAUGGG
This 253-nucleotide ribosomal RNA is filed under the name uncultured bacterium. RNAcentral's name for it is "partial 16S ribosomal RNA". It matches the Rfam family "Bacterial small subunit ribosomal RNA", at positions 524 to 776 of the family's 1533-position model. The record is from RNAcentral.